This 211-nucleotide ribosomal RNA is filed under the name uncultured bacterium. Its description in RNAcentral is "partial 16S ribosomal RNA". It matches the Rfam family "Bacterial small subunit ribosomal RNA", at positions 524 to 734 of the family's 1533-position model. The record is from RNAcentral.
UACGUAGGGUGCGAGCGUUUGUCCGGAAUUAUUGGGCGUAAAGAGCUUGUAGGCGGUUUGUCGCGUCUGCUGUGAAAAUCCGGGCUCAACCCCGGACUUGCAGUGGGUACGGGCAGACUAGAGUGUGGUAGGGAGACUGGAAUUCCUGGUGUAGCGGUGAAAUGCGCAGAGUAUCAGGAGGAACACCGAUGGCGAAGGCAGGUCUCUGGGC